This is a long non-coding RNA of Meriones unguiculatus (Mongolian gerbil), 371 nucleotides long. RefSeq lists it as uncharacterized. The record is from RefSeq and is a predicted model, not a curated record. Lineage: Eukaryota; Metazoa; Chordata; Mammalia; Rodentia; Muridae. The transcript has 2 exons.
ACUGACCUUCUCAGUGGGCUGCUGGAGGAUGGGCAGGCUUUCCUGCAGUCUGUCCAGCCCUCGGUGCGCGUACUCGCUGGCCGACGCGACUGCAGGGCGCCAGAGAAAACACACUUUCAGCGCAACUGCCCUUCAAAGGUCAUGACCUGCGAUUUAAAUAAUGCAACCCAUUCGGAGGCUCCAAGAUGGCUCAGCUGGGAAAGGCACCUGUCCCCAAACCUAAAGACCAGAGUUGAAUCCACAUGGACUCACACGGUGGAAAGAAAGAAGUGACUCCCACAGAAAGCUUUCCUCUGAUAAGCGCCUGUGACAGAGCCCCUCCACCAAGAUAGAUAAUUGUAAAAAUAAAGAAUGAAAAAGGAAACUUCAAA